This 1138-nucleotide long non-coding RNA is filed under the name Homo sapiens (human). RNAcentral's name for it is "HSALNT0365731". The record is from RNAcentral. Lineage: Eukaryota; Metazoa; Chordata; Mammalia; Primates; Hominidae.
AUCCCCUCUAGAGAAUGCAGCAGGAAGGGUCCAUCUUGGAAGCUGAGACGGGACUCUCACCAGACACAGAGACUGCCAAUGCCUUGAUCUUGAACAUUCCAGCAUCCAGAACGGAUUCCCAGAGAGAAGGAAAGGGUGUCUUCACUAGGCUUCAUGGUAGCAAGCACAAUCACUGCAUAAGAAGUGCAGGGACAGCAGAGUGACCCUUCUGUGAACACAUCCAAUGACUGGAGUCCGGAGGCCUAUGGGCUGGAAGUGAGUGUGCCAACAACCAGAGCCCUGGGUAAGAAGGGAACUGCAUCGCAAGGAGGCCCAAUUAAACUGCAAUUACUCAAGAUAAGAAAACGAGGUCUGUUUACACAAUGGGGUUGUAAACCACCGGCUGUGACAAGAGAACUUUGAUCUGGUGGCAAGGGAGCUGUUUCUCAUGCAGGGCAGUGAUGAAACAAGGAGGUUUCCCAAUGAGGAUGUCUCCAUCUUCACCCCAGUAGCCCCAUCUUCUUCUGGUAGCACCCUUGCAUGGACAAGCGGAAAUCCUCACCCCUUCCCAGCCCCAGUAUCCACCUAACACAAUCAAAAAGUGAAGAAUAGAAAGAGAUGAGAUAGUGACUAAAAGGAAAAGAGAAUUGAUGGAGGUCAUCUUUGUGGAGGCGCUUGACAAGCAUGUUCUCACUGAACCGUCACAGUGACCUUCCACGUACCUUAUACCAUGCCUAUUUUACAGAUGAAGACACUGAGGUUCAGAGGAGAGCAGUGCCUCCCAAACUGUAAUGUGCAUAUGAAUCACCCGGGGAUCCUGUUACAAUGCAGUCUGCUGCAGUAGGUCUGAGGUCUGGCCAGACAUUCCACAUUUCUAACAAGCUCCCACGUGGUGCUGAUGCCGCAGGUCAGAGGACUUCACUGUGAGUAGCAAGGCAGCGCUGGACUAACUUGGUUGAACUCAUGAGUGAUUAUAACAAGGUAGGUGUUUAGGAGGCAGAGCCCAAGGAGGAACAGGCAAGACUUCUGUGCCAAGGCUGAGCAGAUGCUGGUAACCUCAGGUGCAAUACAAACCCGGCUGGGGAGAAUUGAGUAGCUCAGGACCUGUCAGUGUCUCAGGAGCCAUAUGCCAGAUGCACAUCUGCCAAGACUUCUUGCU